Molecule: ribosomal RNA, 379 nt
Filed under: Malassezia sp.
Lineage: Eukaryota; Fungi; Basidiomycota; Malasseziomycetes; Malasseziales; Malasseziaceae
Description: partial small subunit ribosomal RNA
Rfam family: Eukaryotic small subunit ribosomal RNA
Source: RNAcentral
AUUCCAGCUCCAAUAGCGUAUAUUAAAGUUGUUGCAGUUAAAAAGCUCGUAGUUGGACCUUGGGCCUGGACGGGCGGUCCGCCUCACGGCGUGUACUGUCUUGCCGGGCCUUUCCUCUUGGUGAUCUGUUGCUUCGGCAGCAGGGAACCAGGACCUUUACUUUGAAAAAAUUAGAGUGUUCAAAGCAGGCUCGACGCCGGAAUAUAUUAGCAUGGAAUAAUAAAAUAGGACGUGCGGUUCUAUUUUGUUGGUUUUUGGGAUCGCCGUAAUGAUUAAUAGGGACAGUCGGGGGCAUUAGUACUCACAUGCUAGAGGUGAAAUUCUUGGAUUUUGUGAAGACUAACUUCUGCGAAAGCAUUUGCCAAGGAUGUUUUCAUCA